UCAGGUCCGCCUAGUAUGGAGCGCUCGGCUUUUCUUUUGUGUGAGGAGCACCCACGACGCCCCGACCAUGGGCGCAGGGGCAGAGGCGAGGGUCGUCGCUCCGUCCGCUACCCCGUCCCCCAGCCGCGGGCGCCGAGGAGCCGGAAGAGAGGCGGAAAGGGCAGCGGGCUCCUUACCCAGACCAGCGAGGGGAGGUCAGCUCGUCGCGGGGUGUGGCUCCCGUCCGGGGACCACCGAGCUCAUUACGGGUGGCCGUGUGUAGCCAAGUUCAAGCUCUCCCUCCGGGAACGCCUGCCGCGGCGGCGGAACACGGCUUCUUCAGGACAUUCAGCAAAGCGGGGAGGCGGGGACCUGCGGGCGGAGGAGCGACGCCCCAGCUGGGAACGCGGCGGACGGGCGAGUGGGGGGUGUGCCCUGGGCGCGCCAGGCCGCGGAGGCUCCGGGGAAAGUUCUCUUGGCCGCGCAAGGGGUGGCGCCCCGGGCGGGAGCAGCCCAGGUGCAUGUGGGCCCGGUCCAGGCGUCUGCAAAAAGCCCUGGAACGAAGCGGACCCCCCAGUCCAGCACUGGCCGCGCCAGGGGCGCCCCUUUUGGGCGGGGUAUCAGCUGGGGGCGGAGGGCGGGGCAGAGACCUUGGUCCCAGCGGCGAGGUGCCGGCAAGUCCACGCUGCCAAGCCGCACGCUGCGCCCAAGCCGCGGGUCAGUCCAGCGCUCGCUGCGUCCUUCCCCCGAGAGACGUGGAGGCUGGGUGGGGAGAAGAGGACGGGGUGCUGCUCGGACCCCACCGUUCGGCGGUCCCAAUCCCACGCCCUCCGCGCGGUCGGCCGCGUCCAGGACUGAGGGGCACAAUAGCUCUGAAGCUGCAGUGACCCCUGGUGGGUCCUGAUGUCCGUGCACAGGCAGCCGAGGUUGAGCUGCGGACGAGACUGAGCCCCGCUGGGCUUCGGAGCAGGUGCAAUCUGUGCUCUCCAGCUGGGAACCAGCAGCGAGUUAAUGCGAGUCGCAGUUAGGGGAGACACGAGGGGAGGUCUCAC
RNAcentral lists this long non-coding RNA (1031 nucleotides) under Pongo abelii (Sumatran orangutan). RNAcentral describes it as "lincRNA". Lineage: Eukaryota; Metazoa; Chordata; Mammalia; Primates; Hominidae. The record is from RNAcentral.